This is a long non-coding RNA of Rosa chinensis, 1340 nucleotides long. RefSeq lists it as uncharacterized. The transcript has 2 exons. The record is from RefSeq and is a predicted model, not a curated record. Lineage: Eukaryota; Viridiplantae; Streptophyta; Magnoliopsida; Rosales; Rosaceae.
UUCAAUCUAAUCUCAUCUUCAUCCAAGUAGAGAGUGAAGAGUGUCCACUCCAAGUUGAGAGUGUUGUAGUUGUUAGGUAGCAAAACAAGUGUGAGAGAGAGUUUCCUUCAAGUAGUAUUCUUGAAGUUGUGUAUCUCUUGUACCCACCUUAUCAUAGUGGAAGUUCAUGUUGUUGCUGACCCGUGGACGUAGGCACCUUACCAAACCACGUUAUAUCCGGUGUUCCUUUUCCUUUACCCCUUUAUUUCUUUGCAUAUUAUCCUUUUGUGGUUGGAGUUAUUAUUUCCAUUCUAUUAAUUUUCCCAACACAAUGUACUGCCCUGUUAUUUGAUUUGGAGAUUACUCUACCUAUGGUUUUCUCUGGUACAUAACUAUAUACAUAUGGUUGUCAUCUUUUAGCACCAUAUUUGAAUCAUUUUUCUUUUUGCUGUACUAAAAACCUUUUGGUUGAGUGUAUCUUCAAAAUAGCCUCCUUUUCACUCCAUUGAUUUCUGUAAGAAAAAUUCUUAUUCAGUUCUCAUUGGACAAUUUGGGGUUUUGGUGACACCCAAAGUGUUUGUAAUGAAUUUCUGAAGUUUGGAAAUUCUGGAAAUUCAUUUAAAUAAAAAGAAAUUUCUGCGGUGCAAUCCUAACCAUCCAUAAAUCCACAGCUUCAUCCUAGCCAUUAAAAUAGAUUGAGCUUGGGGCUAUAAAUACCCUUGAUCAGAUCAAGGAUCGUGAUCAAUUGCUCCUAGAUAGCUCGAGAGAGCAUCAGAGCUCUCUGACCCGGACACAGCCGCGACCCAAGAAAGAAACCCGACCAGAGUGACACCGUCCGACCACCGAUCGACGACUCACGACCAUUGAUCUCUUCCUCUAGUCAUCGCUGUCACGCCUGUGGGAUUCGAUCGCCCAUGCACCAAACGAGGAGUCAGAAAUGACAGUGAGAAGUUCUGACUGCUCCGGCGAAGUUCAGCAAUUUCCGGCCACCGUCUGGGCCGCAUUCGCUCGGGUUCGACGCUGUUGCUACGCCGACGACUUUUCCGACGCGUCUGGGCUUGGUUUCUGGUACGAAUGCUUCUGUAGAUGAGGUCUAACCCUGUUUGGAAGUCCAGUUCUCAAGAUUCCUGGGUGAAACGUCAAAGCUUUGGUAUCAAUUCGUCCCCGGGUUUCCAGAAAGCUGCUAAGAGGGAGUUGGAACCCAGACUACAAAUCGGAGUUGUUGAAGGUAAACUCGGAAGUUCUGCUCAAAUCGUUAUACCUGAAAGCUAAGGAACUAUGUUGGUUAUGCGAUGUUGAUUGCAUGAACAGAAUGGGUGUUUGUGUCUUGGUUUGAAUAGAUGAAGUUGUAUGGUUUGGUG